Molecule: long non-coding RNA, 1457 nt
Filed under: Theobroma cacao (cacao)
Lineage: Eukaryota; Viridiplantae; Streptophyta; Magnoliopsida; Malvales; Malvaceae
Description: long non-coding RNA (TCAC_LNC001097)
Source: RNAcentral
AGGAAAGAACACAAACCCUAGGUGGAAAAAUUGAAGAAAAAGUGUGGGAUUUCAAGGAUUAAGCUAAUUUAUGGAAGGGCAUUUUAGUAAUUUCCAAGGGAGUGGAUAAGCUUGGGCCAUAAAUAUCCUUUCCUUCCAGCAGCUUCUUGGGAUUUCCAGCAGCUUCCUCUUCUUGUUCUCUUCCCUCUCACAUUUCUUCAAUUUCUCCAUGGAAGCUUGAUGUGAAGCUUUCAUAACUUUCUCUCUCUAGCUUUAAUUUUCAUACCCUGGUGCCCUUUUGACUAGAACCCUUGUAUUUUUCUACUCUCUCACUUUAAAACCCUUGAAAAUGAUGAAAAUCUUGUUUCCAUACUUUCUCACUAGUUAGGUGUUUUAGAGAGAGAAAGAGGAAGCUUUAUUAAUAGCUUGAGAGCUUUUAGAAAGAAGUUCAAAGUUACAAAGCUAUCAAGGUGAGUAGUAAACUAGUAUUGGGUUUUAAGUGUUGAGAAUGAUUAUAGAUUUGAUUUGUGAAUAUUUUGUAGUUAAGAUUGUUAAUUCACUUUGGAGUGAUAGGAAAGUGAAAAUGGAUGGCCAUUUAAAUGGCAAUUGAAAGCUAGCUAAAACAUAGCUUUUAGGGUUUAUAGUAUGUAAAUUGACAUUAUGGAAAUGUUAAUUUGAUGGUAGGUGCUAACGAAGCCCCAUCACCCCAAUUGGAUCAUUAGGGGAAUUAAGAGUUGGCUAAAGGCUCAACAAAUACCGGUGAGUGGACUUGCAUUUCAAACUUGUUUUAGGGAAUAUGAAAGAUUCUAUCUAACUUGUCUUAGAAAAUGUACCUUGGGAACAAGCUUUUAGUAAAAUGAUUUUAUAUUGUGAAAAUGUGCUAUACAAUGGUUUAUGUGUUAUCACAAUAUGAUAAAAUGCAUGAUAUGCAUUGGAUGCUUCUUUGCAUGUUGAUGUGGACCGAGCUAUAUGCGAGUAGGAGUGCACAUAAGCCGUUGCUAACCCAGCUAUGUGCGAGUAGGAGUGCACAUAAGUCGUUGCUGAUCCGGCUAUGUGCGAGUAGGAGUGCACAUAAGCCGUUGCUGACCCGAUUAUGUGUGAGUGGGAGUGCACAUAAGCCGUUGCUGACCCAGUUAUAUGCGAGUGGGAGUACGCAUAAGCUAUUGCAUAUGAGAUGAUGAUGUUGGGAGAGUGUACAUGAUGAUUGAUAUAUAUAUAUAUAUAUACAUAUAUGGUAUAUGGUUGUAAAUGCAAAUAUGUGAGCAUUUGAUUUGUUGAAAUUUGGGAGUUUACAUGUGUUACAUGUUGCUAUUGUUAUUUUAGAAGGAUGGCUUGUUUUAAAGGAAAAUGAGACUUUUUCCUUGAUGUUCUGACUCUCGCUACAGCGAGAUUCAUUUUCGCUGCAGCAAGAAACUCUCGGGUUUGAAGACCUUCACCAGACUUGGUUCUUGCUGCAACGGGAAUGAAGUUCGCUGUAG